GACUGAGGAGAGAAAGGACAUAGAAACAAGGAGCUAAAUUUAACCUCAGAGAAGUUUAAUGCAUCAAAAUAGAAACAUUUCUGUCUCUACACAGCAGUACGCUUGAGGGGAUCAGUGCGAUUAGAAACAUGGGUCUCCUAAUCAAAACAUAACAGGUAACAAAAUGAAGCGCACCCUUACCUUGAUAAACGUACAGAUUUCUCUGGGUUUGAAAAUUGUAGGAAAGAAUAUUAGGCAGUUGUGCUUCGUGCAGACGGGGCAGUGGAAAACGUUGACCGUGUCCUCGUACACACACCAGCCGGCACAGUCGGGGGUGGCACAGUGAUAGCUGCCCUCACAUCGAGACUCAGCCACUGACAGCCCUCUCUGCAGCCAGCGCUCGUACUCCUCUGCCGGCACCAACUGAGAACGAGGAGCGGAAAUGAAUUAUGAAGGACGGGGAGCAGGUACAGGAGUACGUGUCGUCUCUGUAGGGGCAGGCCACCUCCGGCUCCUCGCUCAGCAUGAUGACUGAGCGAAGGCACUCUCUGGAUAAACACAUCGCACAAACAAGAGACACGUCAGGCUGAAGAAGACUCACUCUCUUUCAUUUCUCCACACCUCUGCUCUUGACACUGUGAAGUGGUACCUGCAGAAGCAGUGCAGGCACUCCCUCAGCAGGACGCCCUCCCCGCGCUGCAGGUCCAUGUAGCAGAUCCUGCAGUCCACCGGCUCGGGGUUCGGCAGCAGGUCCUGUCCGUCCAGCAUCACCAGCCGGGCGAAGUUCUCUCGGCGCUCCGCUUCCCGGGCCUGGUGUUGUUGGGAGGGUUAAAAUGAUGCUCUGACUGUUGCCCGUCAGUAUUUAUUAAAUGCACAAUAAACAUAAC
Molecule: long non-coding RNA, 866 nt
Organism: Eleginops maclovinus (Patagonian blennie)
Lineage: Eukaryota; Metazoa; Chordata; Actinopteri; Perciformes; Eleginopidae
Exons: 4
Source: RefSeq, a predicted model, not a curated record